RNAcentral lists this ribosomal RNA (501 nucleotides) under uncultured bacterium. RNAcentral's name for it is "partial 16S ribosomal RNA". It matches the Rfam family "Bacterial small subunit ribosomal RNA", at positions 30 to 523 of the family's 1533-position model. The record is from RNAcentral.
AUUGAACGCUGGCGGCAGGCUUAACACAUGCAAGUCGAGCGGAGCGAGGGUGCUUGCACCUUAGCUUAGCGGCGGACGGGUGAGUAAUGCUUAGGAAUCUGCCUAUUAGUGGGGGACAACAUUCCGAAAGGGAUGCUAAUACCGCAUACGCCCUACGGGGGAAAGCAGGGGAUCUUCGGACCUUGCGCUAAUAGAUGAGCCUAAGUCGGAUUAGCUAGUUGGUGGGGUAAAGGCCUACCAAGGCGACGAACUGUAGCGGGUCUGAGAGGACGAUCCGGCACACUGGGACUGAGACACGGCCCAGGCUCCUGCGGGAGGCAGCAGUGGGGAAUACUGGACAAUGGGCGGAAGCCUGAUCCAGCCAUGCCGCGUGUGUGAAGAAGGCCUUUUGGUUGUAAAGCACUUUAAGCGAGGAGGAGGCUACUAGUAUUAAUACUACUGGAUAGUGGACGUUACUCGCAGAAUAAGCACCGGCUAACUCUGUGCCAGCCGCCGCAGUAA